This 253-nucleotide ribosomal RNA is filed under the name uncultured bacterium. RNAcentral's name for it is "partial 16S ribosomal RNA". It matches the Rfam family "Bacterial small subunit ribosomal RNA", at positions 524 to 776 of the family's 1533-position model. The record is from RNAcentral.
UACGUAGGCAGCAAGCGUUGUUCGGAGUUACUGGGCGUAAAGGGUGCGUAGGCGGUUGUUUAAGUUUGGUGUGAAAUCUCCCGGCUCAACUGGGAGGGUGCGCCGAAUACUGAAUGACUAGAGUGCGGGAGAGGAUAGUGGAAUUCCUGGUGUAGCGGUGAAAUGCGCAGAUAUCAGGAGGAACACCAAUUGCGAAGGCAGCUCGCUGGAACGUUACUGACGCUGAGACGCGAAAGCGUGGGGAGCAAACAGG